RNAcentral lists this ribosomal RNA (1455 nucleotides) under Triticum aestivum (bread wheat). RNAcentral's name for it is "partial small subunit ribosomal RNA". Lineage: Eukaryota; Viridiplantae; Streptophyta; Magnoliopsida; Poales; Poaceae. The record is from RNAcentral.
AUGAAAUUUGCCACAUGGCUUGAUUGGCUUGCUCUCCAACACCCCAAUGCUCUUAUUAACCCACAAAGGAACCAGACCUUUCUCUACAGAACCAUUAACCAACAACUCCCCUUCCUACAUACCAUCUCCUUUGUUCUGACCAACUCGGGGACCAACACAUAUUUUUGGUUAGAUACUUGGCUACAUCAUAGACCACUUACAGAAUUGUUCCCCUACCUAUACUCACACACCACUCUCCCACUUGCUCGCGUGGCUGCUGUUCUGAAUCAAGCGGCAUACGAGCUCGCCCUGAGAGAGGACUCGGUGGACCUCCACUGCAUGCCUAUAUGGUCGUCACGAGUCCCCAAUUGGGUCAAGAUUUUUGCAUGGCACCUAUUUCGUGGUCGGCUAAACUGUAAGGCAGCAGAAUCACCACAGCAUCACCACCCUCAAGAACAUCUUACAAGACCUUAUGCUUUAGAUCCACCGGAUGAAGAAGCCAGAAGAAAAACAUGCCGCCUCCUCGUGGCGUUCUUACCUGUCCUCAUGUUCACACGUGGGGAGCUCCCCCCCCGCCCCCCGGUGAUUUCUGAUUUUCUCACUAUGAUUUACCUAAAAGAUUUAGUGAAGUCUGUUCAAUUGAUAAAGGCCACGAAAACCGCUGCUAACCCUAACAGCAACGCCGCCACCGCCGCCGCAGCCGCAUCCUGCAUCCACAAUGCCCAGCCCACCGCGGCUGCCCCAUUCCCCAACCACACCGCUUCCCUCACCGCCCCACCGUCGCCACCCUACUUCCACAUACGGCGCACGGCCCAUCCCCCAUCUUCGCCCCCACCCUCAUCCGCCACCCGCGCCGCCGUACGCCCCAUCCCCGAUCUUCGCCGCCGCGCCCGCGACCCCCAUCCCACGCUGCCACCCAUCCCCACCGACGCUGCCGCACCGGCAUCCCCCACCAACGCCGGCGCCCCAUACCUAUUCAGGCGGCCGCAGCAACAACCCUGCGGACACACCUACCACCUACGGCCCCCUGUUUCGCCCCUCACACAGCAGCACCACAUCUCCUCAGUACCUGCUCCAUACUGCGUAUCACAUCCUAUCCAUUUGCACUCCCCACAAAUCAGUGGGAGGACGUGCCCAUCUGAAGCAGCAGUAGCAGCAGAACAAGUAGCUACAGCACCGCUUACCUCUGUUUGUGCUCCCCCAGUUUCUGAAGAGUGUUCCUACAGAGUACCUCUUUGUUCUUCUAUUUCAGAUUGCAUAACACUUGUACUAAUUCUGAGAUCAUACUUCUUCUCACGAAAAGAAUGGCAAACAGAGGAGGAUGAGCUGAUGCUGCUAUGCAUGAAGAUUUGCGAACAGGGAAUGAAAGGCAACGCAUCAAAUCAGUCAUCUGUCAAAAUGCCUAAAUGCCGACUAAGAUCUGAGAUAAUAUCACUUACAAAGCAUGACUGGAGGACAUGGCUGCUGAAAACCUGA